AAUCUCAAAGUUGAGGAAAAGAUGAUGGAAGAAAAAUAAAUGAAACCAAGUUUAAUGUCUUCAUAAGAGUGAUCCGAUAGCUGCCAAAUAGACCCAAAACAACUGAAACUACGACUCAGCCACAAAAGCUGGAGGUUGAAGCCGUGUUGACAGCAGAAUCCAAGGCACAACAAUAGUCUUUGAGGUUAUUGUUUUUAAUUUUUUACAUCUUCAUGCAAGAGUAAGAUAACUUUCACUUUUUACCCAAAUGAUCAGAAUUAGCUAAAAUGAAACUGAAGGUAGUACUUGCAGCUUCCGAGAGUCGGCUACCAAUAAGGCACGAAUAGAAAUGACAUUUUGCUCCUCUUCUUUUCGGGAGUUGGUUAUAUUAUAUUAGAUUGUGAGUGGAUGAACUUGAAGCAAGUUGUGAUUUUGGUCUCUUCAUUAAAGAGUUUGAUAAUCGAUGAUUUGCCUUCUUUUACUAAGUGGCUCCACUAAUGAUCUAAAUAGCUGUGAAAUAAAGAUUGAUGCAACAAGCCUUAGUUUCUUUAAGUACAGUGGUUAUCUCUCCAAUGAGCUAUGUGCAACAUCCCGCCUUAAAAAGAAAUAAAGUUAGAAAGAACUAAUUAGGAAAGAGCCAAAUCUGAAAUUUUACAAGUUAUGUUUGAGUUGUGAGUUUUGGGUCAACUUCAAACGACUAUAACUUUUAGUACAAGAUGAGUUAGGUGGCCCAUAAGAUAUCAAAUGAAAGGUCUUUGUAUCCUCUUUUCAACGCCACCGAGUUUGCUAAGUUUUGUGUUCGAAUGAGGGAUAUAUGCCCGUUUGAAGUCAGAAUAUCCAAUGAAGAAAAGUUACCCGAAAAUGUGAGGGGUGUUUUAGUCUUUUCCUUACCGAAUCAGAUUAAAACAUUUUUAGUAAUAUUAUGAGGUCAAAUCUGAUUUGGUUCAGUUUUACAAAUCAUAAACUACGUUUAAGGUUUUAGAAGAGAGUUCAAGAAGAGGAAAAGAGGAGAAAAGGAAGAACGAACAAGGUUUCACAAAUCGAGGAUUUGUUUCACCAAAUCGAGUGUAAGUUUUCAUAGUGUUGGGUUCGUUCACCCACAUGCCAAUCAUGAUUUACAUAUUCGAAUUCAUCCAUAAAGAUUGAAAGAUUUAAGUUCUUGAUGUGUAUUCUUGAAGUACUGCUUUCGUUCUUGAAUUAUGAUGGGUUUGGUGAGUUCUUGAGAUAAAUGUAUUGAGUUUGAGAGUUGUUUUUGAGUAGAUUCUCGUGUACUUGUAUUGGGUAAUUGAAUCUAAGAAAUAUUUGAGAAAAGAAGUCGAUUCUAGACGAUUUAGGGUCAGAAAAUGAGAAAAAAAUUCAUCGGAUUGUUCUGGGGGAGGGCUGGGGCUGUGCGCCCCAGCAGUGCACCAGAAAGCAGCCUCUGAAGUUCAGGGGCUGGUGCCCCGCGCCAGUAGUGCGCCAGUGUCGCCUGCCCCCACCCUUUUCUGGCGCACUGCCCCCACCCUUUUUUCCAUCGUUUGUUGCGUCUAAGUCCUUUUAAAGUGUACCUUUACUUCCUAUUUAUUCUAACUACUCUAAACUACAUCUAAACAUCGAGAUAUCAUUCAUAACAUGAAUCAUAACCUUAAAUUCAUAAUUCAAAUUCAAGGUAGAGUUAAGAGUUAAGUCUUGAGAGUUAAGUCUUGAGAGUUCUUUCAAGUCAUUUUGAGAAGUCUUUUACAAUCUUUUAAAACUUGUUUUAAGACUUGAGUACGAGGAUGAGGAGAGUAGAGAUCGUUUUAAAAAAAAUGAUAUAUGGAAACUAAGUAUCCCAAGAGUAAAUGCUUUUAUAUUUAAGAAGAGAGAAAACACUGAUUUCCAAAAUAGUUCAUCUGGAGUUUUGAGUACUAUCUCUUUUAAGAGAAAUAUUUUGAGUAAUAAUCUCAAAGUUGAGGAUGAGGAAAUGUCUUUAAAAAAAUAUAUGAGCUAAGUUAUAUUUUGGGAAUAUUAUUUAGCACCGAUAUGGGGGAGAGUUCAAACAACUCACAACCCUUAUAAACAAUGUAGCCAACGUGGGUAGGAAGUGUCAUACUUUUUAGAUGAUUCAUUAUUGCUUUUUAAGCAUAGCUUAGUGGAUCCACUUAGUUGAGGAGUUAUAUACCCCGACAAGGUAUAUGACAGUUCUGGCAGCGUGGGCGAGACGUUGUAUCAUCACAUAACUCAUAGUGAUGGUUGUCAGUUAGAGAAUCUCCCAAAUAGAGUUUAUUUUAUAUUUUUACAUACAAAAUGAGUUAUAUUGUAUUUUCCAAUACAUUGAGUUAUUAUCUAUAAACAAUGUAGCCAACGUGGGUAGGAAGUGUCAUACUUUUUAGAUGAUUCAUUAUUGCUUUUUAAGCAUAGCUUAGUGGAUCCACUUAGUUGAGGAGUUAUAUACCCCGACAAGGUAUAUGACAGUUCUGGCAGCGUGGGCGAGACGUUGUAUCAUCACAUAACUCAUAGUGAUGGUUGUCAGUUAGAGAAUCUCCCAAAUAGAGUUUAUUUUAUAUUUUUACAUACAAAAUGAGUUAUAUUGUAUUUUCCAAUACAUUGAGUUAUUAUCUACUAUUUUAAAAGUUUUUCUUCAUAUCGCAUUAUUGUUACUGCUUUUAUAUUGAAAUGAGUUGAGAUUGAGUUGAGGUUGAGUUGAGACGAGGUAAGUUGUUUCUUCAGUUUCAGUUCAAGCUUUUGUCAUGUUUUAGAUUUCCCCUUGCAUGCUCGUACAUUUCAUGUGUUGACGCCAUUUAGCCUGCAUCUUUCAUGAUGCAGAUAUAGGUAACCAGGAUCAUCAACCAGCGCUUCGUUGAUCCAGUUGAGUUCCAGAGUUGUUUGAGUUCUAGAGUUGUUUGGUGAGCUUCUUUGCUUCUGGAGGAUCCCUUAUUUAUCUUCAGUUAUUUCAGUUUUUUAGGAUGAUCGGGGGUCUUGUCCGGAAAUCCCUCAUAGUAUUAGAGGCUUCAUAUAUAGAUAGACAGUAGUUCACGAGUCUUUUCAUUUUCAGUUGUUAAUGUUUUAGACUUGAGUUGCCUCUUUUGACCAGUGAAUGUUUUAUUUCUAAAAUAUUUUGAGUUUACUUUUGAGACAGUUAAGUAAAGUUUAUCUGUUGAGUUUGUUUUAUGUUGAGUAAGUCUUUCGCUGAGAGUUGAGCCAAGCCAAGGGUUCGCUUGAGCCCAUCAAUGGUUCUCGAGUGUCGACCACGUCCAGAGUGUAUGCUCAGGGCGUGAAAAUAUGUUUGUAUAAUCUAUCCCCCUCAGCCAAUGCAUCAAUUCACAUUCCCAUUUUGUAUAAGAAGCAAAACCAAAUUGAUUUUCGUGUUGUUAAGCUCUUUAUAUGGUUACACAAGAUUAGUGCUGCAAUAAUAUCUAGCAGGGCUAUUGAAAUAAUUACUAACAAGAUGGAAAUUAGCUACAGAACAUCACAAUAUAGAAUGUUAAAUGUCUAAAUAUGCAGUAUUGAUAUCUUUUCUUCUUUUCCUUUUCUGUGAUCCCACUUGUUGCUUGACAAAAACAUCUCUAAGACAGGAGAAAUUGUUUGUCGCUUAUUCAAUGUACAUAAUAGAAUAAAUUUGUAUCGACACUUUAAUUAAUCAAAUCAUUCUUUACCGAGCUCAAUAAAAAUAGAUAAAACUAAUGCACGGUUCGACAGACAUACAUGUAGCUGAAAUUCUGAUACAGAUAGCUGCAAAUCCUUAACUUCACACUGCAAGGGAAAAUAAAUUCAAACGUCAGUGCAGUGAGGCAAAAAAACUCUAAGCUAAACCUACAACAGCGGAAGACGAAAAUUGACAACCCCACAAAGUUAAUUAACUCGGAAUCAAAUCUUUAAUAAAUUUUUCUUCCAUUUAAUUACAUCAAAAACUCAUAUGAACAAACAAAAGACCAAAGUAAUUAUUGCAUGUGGCAAAAAAGCUUUGAAUAAAACCAAAGUAAUUAUUGUGUGUGGCAAAAAAAGCUUUGAAAUGGAAAAUGUGCGAAUGACAAGAUGAAACAACAAAAAUCGAAGCUUCAAUUCAUUAUGGUCUCCUAAGAAAAAGCAAACUUGAACAUUAACAACAAAUUCAAAUAAUUAUUAAAAAAAAAAUGAAUACGCCGAGAUCAAAGUUCAUCAACAAAAGAUAAAAAGCUUGUAACUUGAUUUUAUAUUCAACCAAAAAAUGGAGAUUCAGAACAAAACAACAGCAAAAAUAAAUCGUGACAAUAUGAGUUAGGAUUUCAACUAAAAGGAAAAUCUGAAAUGAGGGAAAAAGCAGAGAAUAACGAUUAUAGCUACAAGAAGGAAUAAACCGUCACCAUAGUUUUGGGGAAAAAUCAAAAUAUUAGUACAAAUCAAAGAAACAAUUUGAAUCAGCCUUACCUGAGAUGAAUGGGAGAAACAAAAGGAGAUUUUAGCGACCAAAGCAGAGAGUGGUGAAGGGAGAAAGUUGAAAGAUGAAGCUAAUGAUGUGUCCAUUGAAGAUACCUCUGGAAGACACGUAAACUAUAAUGAUGCACUCAAAAGACCAAAAUACCUUAAAAUUUAAAUUAAAAGACAUGAAGCAUACUUGUUCAAACAAGUCUUUUCUAAAGUAGUAGUUGAACCAAAAAAAUAAAAUAAUAUAUCUUUCACUAUCAAACUAUGCAUACAUGCCAACCAUUUUAUUUUAGUUGUGCUUGGGAAAUGCUCCAACAUAAUUAUUAAUGUAUUUUUUUAAUAGUAACAAUUCAUCUAAUGCGAUGCUGUAAUGAUGCAUAUUUCUUGUAAUUACGCUUAUUUAUAUGUGUUUUAUCUAAUAAACUUUCCCAUCUUUAUAUAUAUAAGAGAAAAUGUUCAAAAUAUAUUUGAAAUUUGACCGAAAUUGCUGUAAUGAUUCUAAACUUUGGGCAAACCCUAUUACCCCUGCACUAGUUAAUAAUGUAUUUUAAGGAUAUAUAUGACAUAUGGACAUCAUAAAUAUUACAUCAUUAUAAAUAGUAACUUGUCCAACUAGACAAUUAAAUAUCUUUUGAAAUACACUAUUAAAUAGUACAAGGGGUAAUAGGUCUUGUCCAAAGUUUGGGAUUAUUACAUCAAUUUUGGUCAAAGAUUUGAUAUAAUUCAGACCUUUUUCCCAGUAGAAUAAUAAAGUCUGACAUACACCUCUGUUUGGCCAGGAUUGCCAUUUAUCUAUUAUGUCAUUUUUUUUGGAUUUUCCCUUAAUUUGUUCUUCAUAAAAAAUCAGAAAAAUAGAUACAUUUAAUUUUCCUCUUUCCUCAUUAUUACUACACUAUUUAUAUCUUUCUAAGAUUCUUAUUUUUCCUUCUUUAUUUUCCGUAUUUUUUUUCAAAAUAAUUGUGCUUUUAAAAAUUUCAAAAAAUAAGCUACACUAACAUUUACAAAUAUAAUUGUAAUUAAAAUAUUACAAAUGUAUUUUUUUUUUAUAUAUACAAAAGUAAAUAGUAUCAAAUAUAGGCAAAGUUAUAUUUAUCUCUUGUUUCUCCUUUUUUCAUUUUGUAUUCUAAUUUUUCAGAAUUAAUUUAUUUAAAAUUAUCAUCUUUAUAACUCAAACCUCUAUAUAUUUAUAAAUGGUACUCUUAACUAUAUUAGUAAAAUAUUCAUAACUAUCUAAUCUUCCUGUAACACCCCGGAACCAAAAGAGGGUAAAUAACACUUUUAAGGAGAUGUAGCUGCCAACCCAUGAGGGCCACCCACGACCCGUGGAUGGGACCAUGGACCGUAGGUGUGGUCCGUGGAUGGCUCUCCAAAACAGAUCUUGAAGGCCCAGAACCACGGCCUGACCAACGGACCGUCGGUCAGGCCACGGUUCGUGGUUGGAGUCCCGUGGUUCGAUGGCCAAAAGUCACUUUCUAACAACCAUCGACAGCCGUGCAGGGUGAACUGUCGGUCAGUCCACGGUCCAUCGAUUGGUGGCCGUAGGUCAUGAUAUGACAGUUAUUGUUAGGGGAAGUUGGGUCUUUUCCUAAUUAUUUUAUUCUUAUACUAUGUCGUUUUACCCUUCACUAAGACCCCUAUAUAAGUGAAUUCAACCCCCAAAUUAGUUCAUUCACUUCAUUCUCUCCAAAUUCACCAAAAAAGAAGAACUCUCUAAUAUUUCUCUCUCUAGAAAGCUUGAAGAAGAAGGAUUCAACCUAGGGUUUUAAGUCAAGUAUCAAUUCCUCCAUUGAAGAUUAGCAAUUGACUUCAAGGUAUGAUAGUUUUCAUCCAUGGAUUCCUUCCAUUCAUGGAGUUCCCAAAUUCCUUUAUUUUCAAAGAUAGAAAUCCCCAAUUGAGUUAAUGUUUUCUUCAAUUGUUAUGGGUUCUCUUGAUUAUUGAUUUAAAUAAUUGAAUUAUGAUCUCUUAUGCAUGAAUUGAUGAAAUACUAUGAUUUUAUGAUGAUUUCCCCUUGAGACCAAGUAAUCUCCAUGUUUUUCAAGUAAUGUUCAUAUGAAGUGGGAUUUUGAUUAUGAAGGAAGAGUUUUAUGAAACUAAGCAUGUAUUCAUAGAAUUACAUGAAUUUAUGAUGAAAUUCAUAUCUAACCCAUGUUUUAAAAAUUUUGAUGAUUGAAAGUGGGUUUUGAACCUUUAAAGGUAAAUUAUGGAAUUAUGCAUGUUCUUAUGAAAUCUAUGCAAAUGUUUUAAGGGUGUUUUGAGAGUAAAGUAUCAAUGAUGAUGUGAAAGGUUUUAUCACAUAAUGAAGGGUUCUAAGGUUAAAAGGUCUUUUCACCUAAUUGAGUCAAAGAUUAAGAGCUAUCCUAAUGAACCUAGAUUGGAUUGAUAAUUGAAAGAUACCUUCUCAUGGAUGAUGACUUAGCUUGAAUUGGCAAGAUGACGUGCCCUUCCAUGGAUAAUAAGAACAAGUAAGAAAUGACCCGUAGGAUUUAUGCUUAGCACCGAGAGGAUAUUGAGAUGGAAUCUCUCCCGUUAGGAGAGGCCGGGUUUCUAGUAGCAAUCUUCUUAUCCCUUACCUAUGUGCCCCCAUAGGAUGAUUGUCUAGUUAGACAUUAGAUAGUGGAUCCACUUUAGCUCAGAUUUAUAGUCCUUACCUUGGCAAGUAGGACAACCCUUUUCGGUGUGGGAGACACCAAGGAUCAUUUUAUAGCUCACAUGUUCUCUAUGUCGGUUAAGAAUAAUCCCCAUAUUAAUAAUGAACUAAGGUUACUUCAAGAAGUAUCUCAUAUGUGUUCAAAUGUUUCAAAGGAUGUUAUAUUACAUUGAACAUGUUUUAUGACUUAUGUUUUCUAACUCUUUUAUAUCAUGUUUUAGCUUGGUCAAUUGCAUGUUAUGAAAUAUCCCUUUUAGCAUGAUUUAAAUGUUUUAUGCAUAGCUAUCAUAUUUGGUACAUUAUUUUGUACUAACACAUACUCUUGCCUACAUUUCCCCAAAUGUAGGGUCUGACAGCCAGGUUUCUCAAAUUCAUGGCUAGGGGUUGAUUUCGAGGUUCUCGAGCUUUGGUGAGUCCUCAUGCUUCGAGGACAGAUUUUCAUUAUUCAGUUUUCUUUAUUAUUUUCAGUUUGGACAUGAUGUAUGGGCUAGGCCCAAUUUCAUUCGAUUGUAUUAGAUGGCUACUGAGACAAAUGUUUUAAACUUACACUUUUCUUUUAUAAAAACCUAUUGGACUUGGACCAUUGUUUUA
Molecule: long non-coding RNA, 7579 nt
Filed under: Solanum tuberosum (potato)
Lineage: Eukaryota; Viridiplantae; Streptophyta; Magnoliopsida; Solanales; Solanaceae
Description: long non-coding RNA (STUB_LNC003653)
Source: RNAcentral